GGGCCUUAGUUCCUAAAAAUUUUGCUAAUUUUUUUCAAGAUUCCUCAUCACAUCGAAUCUUGUGGUACAUGCAUACAACAUUAAAUAUAGAUAAAAAAAUAACUAAUUGCACAGUUUGCCUGUAAUUUAUGAGACAAAUCUUUUGAGCCUAGUUAGUCUAUGAUUAGACAAUAAUUGUCAAAUACAAACUAAAGUGCUACAAUAGCCAUUUUACAAGUGCCUUACUCUAGAUCAAGUUGUUGUUUUGUUUUUUCUUUUUUCAAUCAUAUUAGGAAGUUGUUGUUUAAAGAAGAAGACUCUAAGUCUAGUAUAACUCCUCGUAUUUUCAUUACUAAGGUAAAAAUACCAGCUUAAGGAUUAUUACCCGAUAAAGAGAUGCUCUCUCGAAUAAUGACCCUAGUUAAAGUGAUGCAACAAAAUAACAGUUAGGACCUUACAAAGUUUGUCACAUUUAAUUAAUAAACAUUACCUAAAACAGUAUACUAACAAGAACUCCAUCAUGUUAUACUAGAAAUUAUGUAAACAAUAUCAUCUCUUUCUCCUUUGGCUCCUUUUAGAUCAAGUGUUUGGCCUAGCUCAUCAUCAUGGGUUAUCCCUUUGCAUCUAAAGGGGCAGGACUAAUAGCAAGAGU
Molecule: long non-coding RNA, 631 nt
Filed under: Sorghum bicolor (sorghum)
Lineage: Eukaryota; Viridiplantae; Streptophyta; Magnoliopsida; Poales; Poaceae
Description: long non-coding RNA (SBIC_LNC012672)
Source: RNAcentral